CAGGUGCCUCAGUUGAGCUCAGGGCUUUGCCAGGGCUCUACUAUUCUGUACCUUCCUCCAAUCCUGUCUACUCAGUUGAUGUUUGCGUUUCCUGGAUCAGUCGGAGGUCUGGAUCAUUCCCUUGCUGCAUCUGUUGAGUGUCAGGCUGCUGGUGGUCUUGCUGUGUUUUCUCCACUCAGGUACUCACCAGUUUCAGAUGCACCCUGGUCCUCUCCCUGUUCAUGUUUGUUUUACUCCAGAUGAAGUUGUGCAAAUAUGGAGACAAGAACAAAGUGGAAUAUAGAAUCCGGGAAAUCUGAACAUAGAACUUGUGGAGAGGUGGAACAGACCUGCAUGUGCUCAAGUCCAUGUUAGCGAGAACUUCCCUGGAAGCUGAAUGCAAUUCUGUGAGCCUCUGGACAUUUCUUUCCAUUUUUCCUCACACUUAGUUCUGUUUGUGCAUGUCUUUCAGCAUUUAGAAAUAACCGUGCCUGAGUUUUUUUUGUAUUAGUAGCCACUUGAAUGCACAGUUAUCCAAGCAGCAAUACGUAACUUGAGGCUUAACUGUAGUGCAUCUUUUUGUUAGGUAUUACUGAUGUAGUAGGAAGCAUAGCUUUUAUCCACCAAGAAUUGAUUAGAGUGAAUAAUUAACAUGUAGUCCAUCAAUAUGGAAGAAUGAAUGAAUGUCUAUUUGAUAUGAGUCUUGAUGGAUGAUUUCAUUGCUGGUUUAAUCUCCGUCUGGUUUCUGUUUAAUCUCUUUUAUUGGCUCAGCUAACGUCUGAGCAGAAUUUAAAACAUGCUCAUUACUUAAACACAUAAAUAUUUGAAUAUUUUUGUGUUUUAAUCUUAUCUUUCAUAGGGACUUUGUUUUAAAAAGUGUCUUCUGAAAUCAAGCCACAGCAGACUUCCUGAUUACUGAAAACAUAAUUUCUUAGCAAAAUAAAUUAUAAUAGAUCUUUAAACUGAGCUGGAAA
Molecule: long non-coding RNA, 953 nt
Filed under: Numida meleagris (helmeted guineafowl)
Lineage: Eukaryota; Metazoa; Chordata; Aves; Galliformes; Numididae
Description: lncRNA (ENSNMEG00000021042.1)
Source: RNAcentral